GGAACUCGGCAAAAUGACCCCGUAACUUAGGGAGAAGGGGUGCCAUGGAAACAUGGCCGCAGAGAAUAGGCCCAAGCGACUGUUUACCAAAAACAUAGGUUUCUGCUAAGUCGCAAGACGAUGUAUAGGAGCUGACGCCUGCCCGGUGCUGGAAGGUUAAGGGGAUCUGUUAGGGUAACCGAAGCAGUGAACUUAAGCCCCAGUAAACGGCGGCCGUAACUAUAACGGUCCUAAGGUAGCGAAAUUCCUUGUCGGGUAAGUUCCGACCCGCACGAAAGGCGUAACGAUUUGGGCACUGUCUCAACAACAGACUGGGUGAAAUUGUAAUACCGGUGAAGAUGCCGGUUACCUGCGACAGGACGGAAAGACCCCAUGGAGCUUUACUGUAGCUUGACAUUGAGUCUCGGUGCUACAUGUACAGGAUAGGUGGGAGGCUAUGAAGCAUGGACGUCAGUCUGUGUGGAGCCAUCCUUGGGAUACCACCCUUGUAGUACUGGGAUUCUAACCAGCUGCCUUGAAUCAGGUAGUGGGACACUGUCAGGUGGACAGUUUGACUGGGGCGGUCGCCUCCUAAAGAGUAACGGAGGCGCUCAAAGGUUCUCUCAGUACGGUCGGAAAUCGUACGUAGAGUGUAAAGGCAGAAGAGAGCUUGAUUGCAAGACAUACAGGUCGAGCAAGGACGAAAGUCGGACUUAGUGAUCCGGUGGUACCGCAUGGAAGGGCCAUCGCUCAACGGAUAAAAGCUACCCUGGGGAUAACAGGCUGAUCUCCCCCAAGAGUCCACAUCGACGGGGAGGUUUGGCACCUCGAUGUCGGCUCAUCACAUCCUGGGGCUGUAGUAGGUCCCAAGGGUUGGGCUGUUCGCCCAUUAAAGUGGUACGCGAGCUGGGUUCAGAACGUCGUGAGACAGUUCGGUCCCUAUCCGUCGCAGGCGUAGGAAAUUUGAGGAGACCUGUCCUUAGUACGAGAGGACCGGGAUGGACGUACCGCUGGUGUACCAGUUGUUCUGCCAAGGGCAUAGCUGGGUAGCUAAGUACGGAAAGGAUAAGCGCUGAAAGCAUCUAAGCGCGAAGCCUACUUCGAGAUAAGAUUUCCCACCGUAAGGUUAAGACCCCAUGAAGACUACAUGGUUGAUAGGUCAGAGGUGGAAGUGUGGUAACAUAUGUAGCUUAC
This 1173-nucleotide ribosomal RNA is filed under the name Vibrio parahaemolyticus. Its description in RNAcentral is "partial 23S ribosomal RNA". It matches the Rfam family "Bacterial large subunit ribosomal RNA", at positions 1709 to 2895 of the family's 2925-position model. The record is from RNAcentral. Lineage: Bacteria; Pseudomonadati; Pseudomonadota; Gammaproteobacteria; Vibrionales; Vibrionaceae.